AGGAGUGAAUGGGUGGUAGGUGUAUAGUGAGGGACGAGGAAGGAGAGGGAUGUAUUGAGUAAAAGAAAGAAAGGAGAAACGGGGGAAAAAAGGAGAGCGAGAAAAUGGUCACCACUUUCCUGUUCCUUUUUCUACUUCCUUUUUAUCAAUGAUAAGUCGUGGAAAGUACGUUGAGAUAAAAUUGAAAUUGCACUAUAUCAGCGUCGAUGCAAAGAGGUAGGAGGAAAGAAAAAGUAAAUAAAAAGAAAAAAAAGAAAAAAAAAAUAAGAAAAAAAAAAACAAAAACAAAACAAAACUUCCAUUUGCCAUUACGGAGAAGUACAAAUGGAAUUUGCCUGGCUUAUCGGUGAUCCACUGUUCUCGAAAACGAUUACGAACGUCGAUUUCAUACAUACGUUCUUACAUAUUUCGUAGAAUAGCUACAUGCUACACCCGUUAUCGUUAGCGCGAUAAUAAGUAAUCGAGAUACACAUACCUUCGUAGAAAUAUCAAGAGCGAUAAUGACGAGAGCAUGUAUGGGAAAGAUGGCAAGAAAGAGAUUGAAAAAAAAAAAGAAGAAAAAAAAAAGAAGAAGAAAAAAGAAAGAAAGAAAAAUAUACGGAGAUAUGGUAAAAUUGUUUGUUUGCUGCUACUUUUUUUUUUUUUAUCUUUUUUUCCUUUCUUCUUUUUUCAUUUUCUUUUUUUUUUUUUUUUUUUUAUAUUUCGUACUACGUAUCGCACGCACACUUUGUAAUACUAUCUUUGGAAUAUGUCCAAGUCCUCUUAUUAUUUAUUGUUCCUCUUACGCGUUACGGUAUGCCGUUAGGUAUAUAAAACAACGCGUAUGAGGGGAGAGGUUAGAAUAGAAGUAAGAUAAAGGUAUAAAGUAAGGAACAAAUGGAGGAUUUCGAAGGAUCGACUCCGACGUUUCUCUUGCUAGCAGGAGAAGAACGAUAGGCUUACACUCUCGCCCACUCGAUGCCGAGCCGUCCUGUUUUCGUCGCGUUCUCUCUCUCUCUCUCUCUUUGUCUCUUUCUUUCUCUCUCUUUCUUUUCUCUUUAUUUUUCGUUUCCCAGCGAAUUAUACUCGGUGGCCGACAUCGGCGGUAAGUAAGAUCUCUUGGAGUGUUAUUUUCGCCGAGGCAAGCUUCGUCUCUCCUUUGCUGGCGUUAGUAUUUUUAUAGCUAGAAAGAGAGAGAGAGAGAGAGAGAGAGAGAGAGAAGGAGAGAAGAAAAAGAAAAAGAAAGAAAGAAAGAAAGAAAGAAAGAAAGAAAGAAAGAAAGAAGCUUCUCUACUAAAGCUCUCUUCUUCUUUUUUAAAGCUCUCUCCCUUCUUACUUCUCGUCUACUCGUAUAUACGCCUAUAUGCGUGUCCAUCUUUGCUUACCUCUCUUACCCUCUCGCGUAUCUUCUAAAUUAUGACAGUCUCCUUCGCGUCUUCGCACACGUACCCGCGUUAAAGUAAGAAAGUAAGUAAGAAAGUGCCACUGGCUAUAUACAGUUGCCAGCUCAGCCUGGAGAUAUCGCUCGAGGGUGCGUUACGUGAAGAAUUUAAGCAUCUCUCUCGCACGGCUACAAGACUCGAAGAGACUCGAGGAAAUAUAUAGCUAGAGAGAAAAGCUCCUUGAGAUCCGAUUUCGACUUAUCUCUCUCUCUCUCUCUCUUUCUGUCUAACCCCUACCCUUUUUCUCCCAUAUUGUUGUUUUUCUUUUAUAUCUUUUUUUUCUUGUUUCAUUUUUUUUUUCCCCACUCAACGAAUUCACUCGAAUUUCAUCGAUCUAUUUAAUCCGCAUACGUGUACUUAAAUCGACGAUAUUUAAAAAAAAAAAUUGCUUGUCCAUUUUCGAUCUUCAAUUUGUGUAUCAAUUUGAUCGUUCGUAAGAUUUUUUUUCUUUUUCUUUUAUCGGAAUGUUGUUCUGUAAUCGUUACUGCAAACUCCUCGGUAUAUCAAAGAUUCCGAAACAAGAAUUGAAAGAUAAUACGUAAAAGGAAAUAAGAAAUGAGUUCUUCGAGAAAUUUGAAAUUUUCGUUUGAAGGAAUAUUGCAAUCUUUUACUAUUUCAUAUUUAAUUUUAUUUAUUUUAAUUGUUUAUCUGUAAAUUAUUAUUAUAUUUUAAUUUAUUACUAUAUAUAUAUAUACAUGGUAUAGUUUAUCAAUUACUAUAUUUUAUUAAUUAUUAAACCAAUAUAUAUUUUUAUUUAUAUAAAUUAACUUACGAGUUGAUCAAAUUGCGUUUCAAGAAAGGUGACAAGUUUAAAUAAAACGAUGAUACUUAGUCGAGUAGAGAUCGUAAUCUUCGAGAGAUACCUGUCGAUUAGAUUAGACUUAGAAGUUCUUCGUUCCUUAUCGUAAAUUCCAAUUUACGAGCACGUAAUAUAUAAAAGUUGUUCUCGAUUAUUAUCUUUUUUUUUUGUUUCUUCUUUUUUCUUUCCUUUUUCUUCUGGAAUUAUAUGAAAGAUUACAUCCACGACAUUAUUUUAUCGCAUUUUUUUUCAAAAUUUCUCUUUUAGAGUUCAACGAUUUCCUUUUUUUAUUAUUAUUAUUAUUAGUAUUAUUAUUAUUAUCAAAUAUAAACUGAUUUUAAACAUUGGAACGAUAUAGAAAUACAAUGAUAAAGCAUAAAUCGAUGAAAGAAAACGAUACGUUGUGGCAAUGUAAUAUCAACAAUGAAUCAGAUAAUACGUCAUAAUGUAAACCGUCGGUAUCAUAAGUAUAUAAAAUAGAACUACGAUGUAUGAUGUAUCAUAAUUACUUACUUACUUACAUAAUUAUUGGUCAUCCUGACGAUUUAACAUAAAUCGUCCUCCAUUUAUAUAUUCUACCUGUCCAAUCUGUGACCCUGUCGUACAUCUUAUCCAUCUAACACAAAAGCAUUUACUUACAUACAUAUCUACUGUAAAUAUGAGAGUCAUAUGCGUAUAUACAUUUUACGUUCCGAUUCGAAAGAAACCCAAAGGUGCGCGCGCACUUGACGCAACACACUUCAUAUUUACUCAAAGAGAUAUCACGCGCGAGCCAUUUAAACCUUAACUCUCGUGUCACGCGUAUCGAAAAAGAGAGCAUGGUGUAAGUGCCGAGGGGUAGGGUGAGGAGACGUGUCUGGUGAUGGAGGGGUAGAAAGGAGGGAGACAAAGAGAGAGAGAGACAAAACUACGACUCCAUCCAUGAACUCAUAGAAACUCGUUCCUAUUCCUUUACGAAAGAGAGGGAUGAAGAGAGAGAGACAGAGAGAGAGAGAGAGAGAGAGAGAGAGAGAGAGAGAAAGAGAAAGAGAGAGAAGGAGAGAUGUUAUCGAGUCUGAAAUCCAAGUCCUCCUUGCGAUAAGAACGACAAAGCGUUUAUGCAAAUGUUUGGAUAACGUUGCACGACUCUUUGCUACCAGAACGCCGCUUCUAUGCAAAUUCCACGUCGACCUUUCUUUCUUCCGAGACUUCCGAGAGCCGUCGGGCAAAACGAGAUUCAACACUAUGGAGAGAAGCCAUCUCGCCGCUCGUUUCUUCUUCUUUUUUCUUUUCUUUUUUUUGUUUGCUUUUUUUUUCCUUUAACGUAAGCAUUAACUAUACCAUUAAUUGUCCAAUAAUAAACGUAUAAAAUGCUAUUAAUUAGUUAUGGUGAAACAAUUCGUAUACUCGUAUAUAAAAUUUUUUUCUUUUUUCUUUUAUUCGAUUAAUUUAUCUUAUUUUCAAUUAGUCAUUUCAAUUUUUUCAAUUUUCUCAUAAUUAAUUCGUUUGAAUGAAUAGUCAUCUUAAUUGUACAUUUUAGAUACGUGAAUGAUACAACAACGAAAAAAAAAUAAGAAGAAAAAAAGGAUUGUACUGUGAUCAUUUUCACGUUAAACUCUUGCGCUUAUUAGAGCGUAUACUUUUAAUCAGUUUUAAAUGUUACGUUAUAAGAAAUCUUUUAAAAAGUUUUAUAAUUGUAAAUUUUUAUUUUUAUUUUUUAUUCUUUAAUUUUUUGUUUAUAAAAGUAAUUAUCGGUCAUCGAUAACAACCCUCUACGGUAUUCAACGUGUUAAUGUUGCAUAAGUUUUUUACUGGGCUAAAAAGAAGAUAGAUAAAAAAAUAAAAAGAAAGAUAAAUAAAUAAAUAAAAAAAAUAAAUAAAUAAAUAAAUGAAAAAGAAUUGUUGAAAUCUCGAAAAGUUAAAAAAUUGAUCAGCUAUCGUAGUGCGCAUCGAACUUCGGACGUCAUUUCUGCAGUUGCUUUUCCAAAUGGAAGCCAAUCGAAAUCGUAGCAAACUUUCAUAUAAAACUUAUUUCGGUUCGCGUUGAGAAAUGUUUCUUUUUUUAUUUAUUAUUUUUAUUUAUUUAUUUUUUUUUUUUUUUUUUUAUUUGUUAAGAAAAGUUUCGGAGAAGAAGAGUAUAGAUAUACAUAUAUAGUAGUAGAUCGAGAAUUCGAAGCUUUUCGAAGUAGUACUUCGAAUAGAAAAUGAAAUCGGGAUGGGAAAACGUUUUCUGUUACGUGUGGGAAUAUAACCUUCGAAUUUGUUACGAAAGUUUUUACGAAUGAAAGUAAAAAAGAAAAAAAAAAGAAGGAAAGAAGAGAAAAAAGAAAUCAUGCGUUUCGAUAUUUCGUACGUUUAGUUUGACGUUAGUAAGAAUAUAUAAGCGUGAAAAAUUAUCAUUAUCUUGAUAGCAUUCGUCCUUGUCUCGUCUAAAAACGAUAAUGUGUUCGGCCUCUCGGAAGAAAGAUCGCACACCAAACAUGGAUAUCAUUUUAAAACGUUCGUCAAUGACGCACGAACGAAACUACGAGUAUUACGCGAGCAAAAUACAUAUAUGUAUGUAACUGAGUAAAUACGUGAAGAAGAAAAAAAAAAAGAAAGAAAAAGAAAGAGUAAAAAAAGAAAGAAAGAAAGAAAAAAGAAACUAGAAGAGAUCUAGUUAAGUAUUACAUAAUUAGAUUUUGAUGAACCUGCAUAUUCUCUUUCUGCAUUUUCAUUAUCAAUUUUAUUCUUACGUAAAGACUUAAUUACUAAGAGUUAUAUGUAAUUUACGAUCGUCGUUCGAAUUUCGUGAGUUAGCUGCAAAGGAGAAUAAAAAGCAAAAAAAGGAAAAAAAGAAAGAAAACAACAACAACAAUCAUGAAUACAACGUUUUACGAAAGGGAUCGGACAUUGGGGGAAAGACAAAAAAGAAGAAGAAGAAAAUAAAAAGAGAUAACGAAGAUUCGCUCGAUGGAUAGCGGAAAAGCCGAUGAUAGAGAAGAGAAAGAAGUAGAAAAGGGGAUAGUAGGGAGGGGGGAGGGUUGAGAAAAAAAAAGAAAAGAGAAGGAGGAGAAGAAGAAGAAGAAGAAGAAAGAAAGAGAGAAGAAAAUCGAGGGCGGAAUUGCUUCUCCAUCUUGGCACCGACUAUUAUUUUUUCUUUUUCCUUUCUUUCUUUUCUUUUCUCCCACUCUCACCCUUACCCCACUCAUGACCCCUUACCCCAUUACCUCCCCCCGUCCAUUUACUUUUCCCCGUCCUACCUCUUCACGCUCGAGGCGUAGUUCAUAGAACUAGGUAUUUCGAUCUUUUUAUAGAAAACUGCUAUUGAAUAUCGCAUAAAAUAUAUAGAUUUCGACAAAUGGUCAGUUUCUCGUUCUCCAUUUGGAAAACCUAUAUUAUCAUACGAGUAUCCUUUCAAUGAAGGAAACUUAUUUUCAGACAAGCAAUGAAAAACAAUUUAGAAAGAAAAAAGGAAAAAAAGGAAUAAUCCAUUGAACAUUUUAAUCGAACGCCAUCCAAACCCCAUACAUAUCACCAUACGAAUAUCAACAAAAAAAAAAGAAAAAGGAAAAAAAAGGAAGAGAAAAGGAAGAAGAAAAAAAGCCGCGACGGGAUUCUUUCUUCAUCUUCGCCAUUUUGUCUUCUCUGGCGAUAGGAAACAAAACAAAAAAGAAAGAAGGACAGAGAUAAAGAGAAAAAAGAAAGAGAAAAAAAAAAGGAAGAAGAAAAUGGUAUAUAUCCACUGGUGGUGGAAGUAGCUGGGAAAGAGAACUCCAAACAUUAUCCAGUCAGCCAAGAGGCACCCGUGUAAACAAAGAGAGAGAGAGAGAGAGAGAGAGCAAGAGAGAUAGAGUGGAAAAGGAAAUCCGAAAAGGUGGACACAAAACGAAGAGAAUCGCGAGGGUUGGUUCACUACCCCUCUGUUGCCUACUUAGACCCGCACGCGUACGUACGUACCAUACCUUGUCGAGAAAGAGAAAAAGAAAGAAAAACACACUGGUUGAAAGAGAAACGGAAGAAAGAGAGAGAGAGAGAGAGAGAGAGAGAGAGAGAGAGAGAGAAAAGGUCUAUAUAAAGAAGGAAAGAGAGGGAAGGAGGAAAAUAAAGGUACGGGCAAACCAACCCCAGGCACAGUCACAUCAAAGGCGCCAUGGACGAAAUAGGAAAGCUGCAAAUGCGCGAAAAAGAAUGGGUUAAAAACCCGAGGCGGCAGGGGCGAUGCAGCCUCUGGCCCUUUUCCUACCCUUCCUCUUCUACUUCGUACAUCCCCCUUUGUAACCUCUCCUCCUUCUUCCACUCUUCCCUAUGCCCCUUCUACCCGGUCCUUUUCACCUAGCUAACUUGAAGUGGAACAGACUCGUGAUGGUUGUAGUUGUGUUGGUGGUUCCGGUGUGAGGAGGUAACAGGGGCAAGAGGGCCGAGAGGGGAGGGGGAAGAACUAAAGGAGAAGAAGCUGGGAUUCCGGUGGAAAACUUUUCGAGGACGUUGAAGGACCUUAAAUGAAAACAUUCCGCCCUCAAAGCAGCACCCCUCCAACGGACAUGGUGCUGCUCUCUUUUCGAUUAACGCGCUUUUCGCGUUCUUCUCUCACGAUUAUAUACUCUUCCUAUGUAAGCCUAUCCAAACUCUCUCUCUCUCUCUCUCUCUCUCUCUCUCUCUCUCUCUUUAUUUAUUUAUCUCUUUCUCUCUUCCACUCUUUCACUUUUUCUGGCUAAGGAUUCUUUCGAAUUUCCCGUCUAUGGUCCUUCCUACAUGACCAUGGUAAUCAUAAAUAAGUAAAUUCCAAAACUCCUACGAUGAUCUUUGAUGAUUUCAUUUUAUUGAACGUUAAUCGUUUUAUUAUUCUUUAUUUAAUGAUAGUUUCAACCUACGUUUCGUAUAAGUUAGUAUAAUAAGUACUCGCAGACGUUGGCGGCCAUAAAUUCUUCAAGAUGAUAGUAGAAUGGAUAAGUCCUUUUAUUUUUUAUUAGUAUGUUUAUUUUCAGUGAAAAUGUGUUACAAGAUAGUAUUGAUAGUUAUCAGAUUGCUAUAAUUAUUUACAAAUAAUAAAAUCUGUGUUAAUGAAAUCAUUGGGUUUAUGUAUAGUAUUUAUAUAAAUGCGAAAUAUAAAUUGUGUAGACGAAAUUGAAAUGUAUUAUUAAAUUUAAAAUAAAAAAAAAAAAAAAAAAAAGAAAACAUUAUAGAGAUUUAAUGGAAUGUCUCGUUUCGAUUUAUCAACAAAAUGAAACGUUUUAAAUAUGUAUCUUUAUAUCCAUAUCGAUGCGUUUUGAUUCAUACGUGUAUACGUAUGUGCAAGUAAAAUGGUGUCAUACACACAUUACGAAUAAUAAUUCAAUAUGAUAAUUCCACUUAAUGGAUAUUUAAUUUUAUCCAUUUGAGUAUAAAACAACUUAUCGUUAAAUGGAUUACCUUCAGUUUUCACUAUUUACAAGUAAUCAUGACGACGAGAGAAUUAACGUCGCCAUUGAUUUCGAUACAGAUUUUAUUUAAUAAAAAUUAUUAACGCUCGUUUAUAUUUUUAUCCUUGUAAGGGAAAUUUAAUCGAAUAGAAAGAAAACUUUCAUCGCGUAUGUCAUUUAUGGUUUACCACCGUGGAUAUAUAGUUUUUGUUCGUCACGAUGAAUCGUAAGCUUUCGUAAUUUUUGAAAUUCGCAAUGACGAGUCGCAAUAUCGCAAGUUUGAUUCGACGAAGCGUAGGCUUUGCUUGCUUGCGAGAACGUUCGUUUCAUUCUCAUUACCAGAAGUAGCGUCGAGGAGAAAGAAAAGAGGGAGGACGACUUCAAAUUGGCGCAAUUACGACUUUAAACGGCUCUCAUCCUCCCUCUUCCUCCUUCUCUUUUUCCUCCUCCUCUACCUUCUUCUCCAUCUCAUCCACCUCAUCCUUCUUUUUCCUCUUCCUCCUAUUUCUCCUCCGUUCUCUUCCUCCUUUUUCUUCUGCGCUCUUAUAGCCCUUCGCUAUUCUGUGUCUCUUCGUGCCAUCCGAGUUACGGAGCUUUUCUACUAGAUUGUUGCUUUAAACUUUCAUCCGUCUAAAAUCCGUUAACUUUUCUACGACUCCCUCCGAGUGAGUCAUUUAUUUUACACAGUAUAUAUUUCAUUUAAUACUUGAGAUCUUCGAGUACUUUAGUAAUACAUAUUCUGUUAUUGACGAGAGAGAGAGAGAGAGAGAGAGAGAGAGAGAGAGAGAAAGAAAGAAAAAAUGGAAGAAAGGCAAUAUCUUUUUUGUCUUUUUUUCUUUACGUGUAAUGAUAGGCACAUAACGUGAAGAAAAAAAUGACGGAGAUAAUAAAAAUGAGGAAUUAGUAAAUAAUUCAAUUGUUUAUUCUUCAUUCUUCUACACAUAAUAUUAUUAUGAAUUAUGGAGACAUGUAAAAAUGACUAACCAAUAAUAAUUUAAUUUUUUUAUUCUUCCUUUUUCCUACAUAAUGUUAAUGUAUAUAAUUUUAUAAGAAUAAUAAUUAGUAUGUAUAUAUAUAUACUUACUUCUGUUGGUUAUUUAUUUUAUUAUGUAAAAGAUUGUAAUAGAUAAUUACCUUACAUAUACAUAAUUGAUGUCCGUAUAUGCGUACAUAAUCGUUUCAUUAUUAUUCUAAUGAUAUUCAUUUGUCGAAUAACUGUAUACCCUCGCUUAAAAUAAUAUCAAAAUUUAUGACUUGUUUGCUUAUAGCUUUGAUUUUCAAAGACAAACAAUACUUUUAAUAAUAAUUUAUAGCAUAUAAUUAUAGAAUAUUUGUCAUUCUCAACAUAACGACUACGGUCCAUUGUGUGUUUUCGUUAACCCUUAAAUUCAUGCGGAAUUAAAUUACCAACAAAAUAUCGAUUCUUUAAUGUAAUUCACUUGUUCUAACUGAGUUCAUCGAAUUUCGUAAAAAAAAAAAAAAAAAAAGAAAGAAAAAAAAAAAGAACAAAUUAUAACAAAAUAAUAUUUUAAUUUAUUUUCACGCUUUUCGUUUUAACAUUUUUACUCGCAAUAGUUAACCAUAAUAUAAUUUUAAUCGAAUAAAUUUCGGACAAAGGAAAAACAAGAAAAAAUAUAAAUAAAUAAAUAAAAAAAUCGCGUCAAUUAUAAAGAUUUGAACAGAUCGAAAGAAGGAUUAGAAUCGUCAAAGGAACGGAUGGAAAGCGAUUAGAACACGUGUCGUCCCACGACAUGUCGUUAAUCUUUCAUUUCCAGGGGUUCCCAAGACACCGGAAGUCGAUUCUGCCGAUGUCAUUGCCUGAUAGUCGUCGCGGCCAAACUAUCUCGAAAUUGGCUCGACGAAAUAGACGAGUAGACUUUUCUUCUAGACGAGUAGGUAUGUGUAAUGUGUGCAUAUGUGUGUACGUAGGUACGUACGUACAAUACACACAUACAUAAAUAUACACAGAUGUCAUAUCUCGUAUGUCUCUUAUCGAUUCGUCUUCCCGCAUGUGCAUUUUCUUUUCGAUUGUUUCGACAACAAAUAAGUGUCAGUACACACGUAUAUGUAUGUAAAGAGGUAUGAGUAUACACAUAUACUCAUCCGAGUAAAAAAAAAUAAAAAUAAAUAAAUAAACAAAAUAAAAAAGAAGAAGAAGGAAAAAAAGGGAAUGGGUAGGUGUUUGUCUCUGGAAAUGAAACAUUCAGUAGAAUCGUAGAUUCUCUGUGUAUAGAAGAAGAAGAAAAAGAAAAAGAAGGGGAUAUAUAAGAGAAAAAAGGAAUGAUACGCGGAAAGCCGCAGAAGCAACCGAGCGUGGAAGAAGCGGAUCAUAAAGAAACAUCGUCGUCGUCGUCAUCCUCUCGGCCUCUGUCUCUGCCACUGUCGUUCGCGUGCGACAUUAUUUUUUCAUUUUCAACUUAUCCUUUGCUUUCGUCGUAGGAAGCUCGGAAAAGCCGAAUGGUAGAACGAGGGAUAUGAUACAUAUGUAUAAGCCGAGUGCAGUGUGCCAAUUCUAGAAAUCCUGCCGUUAUCUCUCAGUUCAAAGUGUGUGGAAGGAAGAGGAAAUGACGAAAGUGGGAGAAAGAGCGAGAGCGAGAGGGAGAGAGAGAGAGAGAGAGAGAGAGAGAGAGAGAGAGAGAGAGAGAGAAA
Vespa velutina is the source of this 10229-nucleotide long non-coding RNA. RefSeq lists it as uncharacterized. The transcript has 2 exons. The record is from RefSeq and is a predicted model, not a curated record. Lineage: Eukaryota; Metazoa; Arthropoda; Insecta; Hymenoptera; Vespidae.